Salvia hispanica is the source of this 799-nucleotide long non-coding RNA. RefSeq lists it as uncharacterized. The record is from RefSeq and is a predicted model, not a curated record. NCBI's taxonomy places the organism in Eukaryota, Viridiplantae, Streptophyta, Magnoliopsida, Lamiales, Lamiaceae.
ACACCUAUUUCUCCCUUCUGGAACUUACGGGAGUCAUCUCUCUCUCCCUCACAUUUCUACACCUCUAUUUUCACCAUGGACACACCGCCAAUUUCAUACACACACACACUGAGCGACGAGUCGUCGCCUCCUUCCGGCGACAGGCGCAGCACACUCAUCUUCGUCUCUCUCUCUCCGUGUCUCAGCCUCUCAUUUGCUGCUCAAACGCCCGCCGAUCUCCUUCCCUCUCUGCGUUGCUGCUGCCCGGCAGAUUCCGGCGAUGUCAUUACCUUUUCCGGGCAGAUUUAGACAACGAAUUAACUCCACUUUGUAAACUAACAAGGACAAGGAGAAGGGGGAGGGAUAAAGAGAUUCAUGGGUCAAAGGCAUUGAUUUUGAGGUGGUCCAUACGGAGUUCUCUCGAGGACAAAUUCCGCUCUGCAUCUGAUUCUGGUUCUCUGAAUCUGGUUCUGAUCUGGUCCGAGUACACUAGUCUAUUACGAAGCACUUAAAGGGGCUAUAUGUGUUUGAAUAUGUGAAAUUAUUGGUGAUCUGAAUAAGUGUUGGUGACUGAAUAAUAUUGAUUAGGUGAUCGAAUUAGCUCUUUUUCUUCACCGCGGCUCAAGUCGAGUCACUACCUAACCUUUUGUAUUUGAAUAACUGUCUGAAAUAUUAGCUGUGGCAUGUAUAGGAAGGGUAAUGUAUUUGGAUUUCUUAAUUAUUUCAUACACUUUGGUUAAAAAUAUAUUUUUGUAAAUAGUUACCCAGGUUGUGCCUAUAUAUAUAUAGAUGUUAUAUAGCAGUUUGUCAGUUUACCAAA